UGGGGAAUAUUGGACAAUGGGCGCAAGCCUGAUCCAGCCAUGCCGCGUGAGUGAUGAAGGCCCUAGGGUUGUAAAGCUCUUUCACCGGUGAAGAUAAUGACGGUAACCGGAGAAGAAGCCCCGGCUAACUUCGUGCCAGCAGCCGCGGUAAUACGAAGGGGGCUAGCGUUGUUCGGAUUUACUGGGCGUAAAGCGCACGUAGGUGGACUUUUAAGUCAGGGGUGAAAUCCCGGGGCUCAACCCCGGAACUGCCUUUGAUACUGGAAGUCUUGAGUAUGGUAGAGGUGAGUGGAAUUCCGAGUGUAGAGGUGAAAUUCGUAGAUAUUCGGAGGAACACCAGUGGCGAAGGCGGCUCACUGGACCAUUACUGACGCUGAGGUGCGAAAGCGUGGGGAGCAAACAGG
Molecule: ribosomal RNA, 404 nt
Filed under: Pseudomonas sp.
Lineage: Bacteria; Pseudomonadati; Pseudomonadota; Gammaproteobacteria; Pseudomonadales; Pseudomonadaceae
Also listed under: 2 other names
Description: partial 16S ribosomal RNA
Rfam family: Bacterial small subunit ribosomal RNA
Source: RNAcentral